RNAcentral lists this ribosomal RNA (554 nucleotides) under uncultured bacterium. RNAcentral's name for it is "partial 16S ribosomal RNA". It matches the Rfam family "Bacterial small subunit ribosomal RNA", at positions 355 to 900 of the family's 1533-position model. The record is from RNAcentral.
UAGGGAAUCUUCCACAAUGGACGCAAGUCUGAUGGAGCAACGCCGCGUGAGUGAAGAAGGUUUUCGGACCGUAAAGCUCUGUUGUUGGUGAAGAAGGAUAGAGGUAGUAACUGGCCUUUAUUUGACGGUAAUCAACCAGAAAGUCACGGCUAACUACGUGCCAGCAGCCGCGGUAAUCGUAGGUGGCAAGCGUUGUCCGGAUUUAUUGGGCGUAAAGCGAGCGCAGGCGGAAGAAUAAGUCUGAUGUGAGAGCCCUCGGCUUAACCGAGGAAUUGCAUCGGAAACUGUUUUUCUUGAGUGCAGAAGAGGAGAGUAGAACUCCAUGUGUAGCGGUGGAAUGCGUAGAUAUAUGGAAGAAUACCAGUGGCGAAGGCGGCUCUCUGGUCUGCAACUGACGCUGAGGCUCGAAAGCAUGGGUAGCGAACAGGAUUAGAUACCCUGGUAGUCCAUGCCGUAAACGAUGAGUGCUAAGUGUUGGGAGGCUUCCGCCUCUCAGUGCUGCAGCUAACGCAUUAAGCACUCCGCCUGGGGGAGUACGACCGCAAGGUUGAAAC